CUUACUUUAUGGAGGGAGCUGUGCGUUAUAAGGGAAUUAUGUGUGUGUUUUGCAUUUGAAGAGAAUAACUACAUUGUCCCUACCCGUUGUAUAAGUUGGGAUACUCGUGUGAAUAAGCAUAAAAGGGAAUUCAAGGCUGCCCAAGCAUUGAUGCUAGCUUUCAAUAUCGUGUUACCAAGCUUUAACAUGUUCGCCGUGUGGAAAUUCUUAAGGAUGGCAUCCAAUGCUGGCCAACAUUUAUUCUAGCUGUGGAAGCUCUUUAUGGGUGAUUUAAACCAUGUUUUGGCCGUUGUUACUUACCUUGUAUGCUAUUAGGUCAUGGGCAUGAAUAUAGAUUGGAAUCCAAAGCUUCAAAACUUCAUUGAAGCCAACAAGCCGUGGAAUACAAGCAAGGAAACGUGGGAUAAUUGAAGCAACCAAGGAAUCCUACGUGCUCUCAUUACUUUCUUUCUUUAAUAUAAUAAGUUAGGCAAGAAAACAUGUGGAGAAUUUCUCUAAUGUGUAAUGAUAUGAAUAAAUCCAUAUAUGCGCGCAG
This 535-nucleotide long non-coding RNA is filed under the name Lupinus angustifolius (narrow-leaved blue lupine). RNAcentral's name for it is "long non-coding RNA (LANG_LNC002625)". The record is from RNAcentral. Lineage: Eukaryota; Viridiplantae; Streptophyta; Magnoliopsida; Fabales; Fabaceae.